UCUCUUGUAGCUUAGUGGUCAGAGCACUGGUGUGUAAAGGCAAAGGUCCCAGGUUCGAUUCCCGGCGAGGAUG
Molecule: transfer RNA, 73 nt
Filed under: Agrilus planipennis (emerald ash borer)
Lineage: Eukaryota; Metazoa; Arthropoda; Insecta; Coleoptera; Buprestidae
Rfam family: tRNA
About the family: Transfer RNA (tRNA) molecules are approximately 80 nucleotides in length. Their secondary structure includes four short double-helical elements and three loops (D, anti-codon, and T loops). Further hydrogen bonds mediate the characteristic L-shaped molecular structure. tRNAs have two regions of fundamental functional importance: the anti-codon, which is responsible for specific mRNA codon recognition, and the 3' end, to which the tRNAs corresponding amino acid is attached (by aminoacyl-tRNA synthetases). tRNAs cope with the degeneracy of the genetic code in two manners: having more than one tRNA (with a specific anti-codon) for a particular amino acid; and 'wobble' base-pairing, i.e. permitting non-standard base-pairing at the 3rd anti-codon position.
Source: Rfam by way of RNAcentral